This 1179-nucleotide ribosomal RNA is filed under the name uncultured bacterium. RNAcentral describes it as "bacterial SSU rRNA". It matches the Rfam family "Bacterial small subunit ribosomal RNA", at positions 325 to 1502 of the family's 1533-position model. The record is from RNAcentral.
AACCGUCCAGAUUCUUCGGGGAGCAGCAUUGGGAAUAUUCCCAAUGGGGCAAGCCUGAUGCAGCCAUGCCGCGUGUAUGAAGAAGCCUUCGGGUUGUAAAGUACUUUCAGCAGUGAGGAAGGUGGGUAUGUUAAUAGCAUACACAUUUGACGUUAGCUGCAGAAGAAGCACCGGCUAAUUCCGUGCCAGCAGCCGCGGUAAUACGGAGGGUGCGAGCGUUAAUCGGAAUUACUGGGCGUAAAGCGCAUGCAGGUGGUUUGUUAAGUCAGAUGUGAAAGCCCGGGGCUCAACCUCGGAAUUGCAUUUGAAACUGGCAAACUAGAGUACUGUAGAGGGGGGUAGAAUUUCAGGUGUAGCGGUGAAAUGCGUAGAGAUCUGAAGGAAUACCGGUGGCGAAGGCGGCCCCCUGGACAGAUACUGACACUCAGAUGCGAAAGCGUGGGGAGCAAACAGGAUUAGAUACCCUGGUAGUCCACGCCGUAAACGAUGUCUACUUGGAGGUUGUGGCCUUGAGCCGUGGCUUUCGGAGCUAACGCGUUAAGUAGACCGCCUGGGGAGUACGGUCGCAAGAUUAAAACUCAAAUGAAUUGACGGGGGCCCGCACAAGCGGUGGAGCAUGUGGUUUAAUUCGAUGCAACGCGAAGAACCUUACCUACUCUUGACAUCUACAGAAGCCAGCGGAGACGCAGGUGUGCCUUCGGGAACUGUAAGACAGGUGCUGCAUGGCUGUCGUCAGCUCGUGUUGUGAAAUGUUGGGUUAAGUCCCGCAACGAGCGCAACCCUUAUCCUUGUUUGCCAGCACUUCGGGUGGGAACUCCAGGGAGACUGCCGGUGAUAAACCGGAGGAAGGUGGGGACGACGUCAAGUCAUCAUGGCCCUUACGAGUAGGGCUACACACGUGCUACAAUGGCGCAUACAGAGGGCGGCCAACUUGCGAAAGUGAGCGAAUCCCAAAAAGUGCGUCGUAGUCCGGAUUGGAGUCUGCAACUCGACUCCAUGAAGUCGGAAUCGCUAGUAAUCGUGGAUCAGAAUGCCACGGUGAAUACGUUCCCGGGCCUUGUACACACCGCCCGUCACACCAUGGGAGUGGGCUGCAAAAGAAGUGGGUAGUUUAACCUUCGGGAGGACGCUCACCACUUUGUGGUUCAUGACUGGGGUGAAGUCGUAACAAGGUAACCG